This 301-nucleotide ribosomal RNA is filed under the name uncultured bacterium. RNAcentral describes it as "partial 16S ribosomal RNA". It matches the Rfam family "Bacterial small subunit ribosomal RNA", at positions 509 to 808 of the family's 1533-position model. The record is from RNAcentral.
CAGUAGCCGCGGAAUACGUAUGUCACAAGCGUUAUCCGGAUUUAUUGGGCGUAAAGCGCGUCUAGGUGGUUAUGUAAGUCAGACGUGAAAAUGCAGGGCUCAACUCUGUAUUGUGUUGGGAAACUGUGUAACUAGAGUACUGGAGAGGUAAGCAGAACUACAAGUGUAGAGGUGAAAUUCGUAGAUAUUUGUAGGAAUGUCGAUGGGGAAGCCAGCUUACUGGACAGAUACUGACGCUAAAGCGCGAAAGCGUGGGUAGCAAACAGGAUUAGAUACCCCGGUAGUCCCUGUCUCUUAUACA